AGGAUUUUAAGUUAUUUAAACUAGAAGCCUUCAAAGCCUCAAAAAAAAGUUAUCAUCCUUUUAAAUCCUA
RNAcentral lists this transfer RNA (70 nucleotides) under Orithyia sinica. RNAcentral's name for it is "tRNA-Trp". The record is from RNAcentral. Lineage: Eukaryota; Metazoa; Arthropoda; Malacostraca; Decapoda; Orithyiidae.